This is a long non-coding RNA of Carassius carassius (crucian carp), 1637 nucleotides long. RefSeq lists it as uncharacterized. NCBI's taxonomy places the organism in Eukaryota, Metazoa, Chordata, Actinopteri, Cypriniformes, Cyprinidae. The record is from RefSeq and is a predicted model, not a curated record. The transcript has 3 exons.
CAAACAUAACAUUUGAUCCCAAAUCAACUCCGAUACACGUCACGUUAAACGCAUAGCAAAAUUAAAAAAAUCAAAUAUUAUUUUAUGCUCUAUAAUUGUUAGAAAUGUAAAUGUAUGCAAUACUAUAAAUCCAUAAAAUUCCAAACCUUGUGACCUAAAGACAUGCAUGUGCACAUUAUGCAGAAAGUUUUUCGCUCAGCCUUGUGCAAUAUAGAGAAUAAUCAUAAUAAUAAUGAUAUUUAUUGCCUUUUGCUAUGAAAGGGACAUUUUCUUGAACAUUUCUUAAUGAAGACAUUGUAAUUUAAAAAUAAAAACUAGCAUCCUGCAUCUUUGAUUGCCAGAUUCAUCAUAACACGCAUAAAUAUAAACAAAAAGACUCAAGAUAUAGCUCUUUAAAAAACCUGUGUGUGUGAUAAUGUCAUAUAGUUAGUUAAAAAUUGCUUUGAUUUAUAGGGAUUUAAUUUAGUGACUUUACCAUUUGUUUUAAUGAUGUUUAUUUACAGUGCAAUCUAUUCUGCUUACCCGACUCAUGCAGACUUCUGUCCUGAUGUUUGGCUGUAGUCCUUCCAUCAUCCACUCUUCUGCAACCGGUCUAUUUAUGGAGACCACCAUGAUCUAAUCUAUACAGAUCUAGUUGUCUCUUCUCCCACAAACUCCUCUUUCAGAUUUUGAGCGGAUCUCCUUCAUUCUGCCGCCAGCUCACCAGAACCUCAGGAUGCACCAGCUGUGGAUAUUACAGGCCAAACUUUGGUUUUCACAUUGUUUGGAGGACAAAAUCGGAAAGGAUGUAGGGGCCCACAGUUUGGGCACACAUACACAGUUCAGCUUUGGGUUUGUUGCUCUGUGCUGUUUAAUGUAUGGUAGUCAGAACUUUGUUCAGUUUUAUUCAUUACUGUCAGCUUUCACAGCAAUACUGCUAAAUGAGCAAUUAUCUCUAUCAAACAUGGACCUUAAAGGGAUGGUUCACCCAAAAACAUUAUUCAAAUAAAUAUUGUGGCAAUCAUGUUCAUGAAUCUGAUUUCAGUGGCACAGCUGUGUAGUAUCUAGUAAAGAGGUUGCUGACAGUAUUGUGCGCAUUGUACAUGAUGUUCACUGCCCAGUAUUGUAUUAUUGUUUACACAGUAAGUUUUCAGUAACAUUAUUUCCUUAUAAAAUGCUCUAACAUUUUUUUUCCUCUUCUUUUCUCCACCAGACACCCUAGGACAACAUCCUAAGCACAGAUCUACCUAUAGCCCUCCAUCAUUCCCACAUCCAUCUUGCAACAGUUUCAUGAAGUGCAGUCCAUAACCAGUUCACGGUCUACACAUUGUCCAUUGCAAAUGUUAUGGAUUAUUCUAAUAGAGAUCUUUCUAUUAUUUUUUUGAGACUGUUAUUAUGUACUCCGUUAUGUUGUGAAUAAAGUCAACCCCCCCCCCACCUCGAUGCUUUCAGCAGUUAAUACAUUAAAGUGUGUCCUUAAUGUUUUAUUAUUUAAAGAUUGUUUUAAAGUUUAUUACAGGCUCAGUUUAUUUUUUUUUCACUAGAAAAUAAAGUGUUGUAUUACCUGUCAUAAUCAAGUAUGAUACUUUUGUCAGUAUCAUUAAUUCUGAGGCAAUAUGAAUCAAAUUAACAUUUGUAUAGGGUUUUCAUCCGAAGGC